GUUUGAUCCUGGCUCAGGAUGAACGCUAGCGGCGGGCCUAAUACAUGCAAGUCGAACGGGGCCGCUUCUUCGGGGGCGGCCGAGUGGCGCACGGGUGCGUAACGCGUAGCCAACCUGCCCGGGACAGGGGGAUAGCCCGCCGAAAGGCGGAUUAAUCCCGCAUGCCCCCGGGGCCCGGCAUCGGGCCGCGGGGAAAGAACUUCGGUUCCGGAUGGGGCUGCGUGCCAUUAGCUGGUUGGCGGGGUAACGGCCCACCAAGGCGACGAUGGCUAGGGGAGCUGAGAGGCCGGUCCCCCACACUGGCACUGAGACACGGGCCAGACUCCUACGGGAGGCAGCAGUAGGGAAUAUUGGGCAAUGGGCGCGAGCCUGACCCAGCCACGCCGCGUGCCGGAAGACGGCCUUCUGGGUUGUAAACGGCUUUUUUCGGGGAAGAAACGGGUCCUGCGGGGCACACUGACGGUACCCGAAGAAGAAGCACCGGCUAACUCCGUGCCGGCAGCCGCGGUAAUACGGAGGGUGCGAGCGUUGUCCGGAUUUAUUGGGUUUAAAGGGUGCGUAGGCGGCCGGCUAAGUCCGGGGUGAAAGCCCGCUGCUCAACAGCGGAGGUGCCCCGGAUACUGGCCGGCUUGAGUCCAGGCGAGGCCGGCGGAAUGGGGGCUGUAGCGGUGAAAUGCAUAGAUAGCCUCCAGAACCCCGAUUGCGAAGGCAGCUGGCUAGGCUGGUACUGACGCUGAGGCACGAAAGCGUGGGGAGCGAACAGGAUUAGAUACCCUGGUAGUCCACGCCGUGAACGAUGGCACUCGCCGGCGGCCGAUGGCGGCCGCCGGCUCAGCGAAA
RNAcentral lists this ribosomal RNA (840 nucleotides) under uncultured bacterium. RNAcentral describes it as "bacterial SSU rRNA". It matches the Rfam family "Bacterial small subunit ribosomal RNA", at positions 11 to 856 of the family's 1533-position model. The record is from RNAcentral.